GGUGGCUCAGUGGUAGAGCGCGUGCCUUGCAUGCAAGAGGCCCUCGGUUCAAUUCCCCAGCACCA
Non-coding RNA from Dipodomys ordii (Ord's kangaroo rat), 65 nucleotides. The record is from Rfam. NCBI's taxonomy places the organism in Eukaryota, Metazoa, Chordata, Mammalia, Rodentia, Heteromyidae.